This 497-nucleotide ribosomal RNA is filed under the name uncultured bacterium. RNAcentral describes it as "partial 16S ribosomal RNA". It matches the Rfam family "Bacterial small subunit ribosomal RNA", at positions 28 to 507 of the family's 1533-position model. The record is from RNAcentral.
GAUGAACGCUGGCGGCGUGCCUAAUACAUGCAAGUCGAGCGAACAGACGAGGAGCUUGCUCCUCUGACGUUAGCGGCGGACGGGUGAGUAACACGUGGAUAACCUACUUAUAAGACUGGGAUAACUUCGGGAAAACGGAGAUAAUAACAGCGAAUAUAUUGAACCGCAUGGUUCAAGAGUGAAAGACGGUUUUGGUGACACUUAUAGAUGGUUCCGCGCCGCAUUAGCUAGUUGGUAAGGUAACGGCUUACCAAGGCGACGAUGCGUAGCCGACCUGAGAGGGUGAUCGGCCACACUGGAACUGAGACACGGUCCAGACUCCUACGGGAGGCAGCAGUAGGGAAUCUUCCGCAAUGGGCGAAAGCUUGACGGAGCAACGCCGCGUGAGUGAUGAAGGUCUUCGGAUCGUAAAACUCUGUUAUUAGGGAAGAACAAAUGUGUAAGUAACUAUGCACGUCUUGACGGUACCUAAUCAGAAAGCCACGGCUAACUACGUG